CAAGUCGAGGGGUAACAGGGGUUGCUUGCAACCCGCUGACGACCGGCGCACGGGUGCGUAACGCGUAUACAAUCUGCCUUUUGCUGAGGAAUAGCCCAGAGAAAUUUGGAUUAAUGCCUCAUAGUAUGUAAUUACGGCAUCGUUAUCACAUUAAAGGUUACGGCAAAAGAUGAGUAUGCGUUCUAUUAGCUAGAUGGUGUGGUAACGGCACACCAUGGCAACGAUAGAUAGGGGCCCUGAGAGGGGGAUCCCCCACACUGGUACUGAGACACGGACCAGACUCCUACGGGAGGCAGCAGUGAGGAAUAUUGGGCAAUGGAGGCAACUCUGACCCAGCCAUGCCGCGUGCAGGAAGACUGCCCUAUGGGUUGUAAACUGCUUUUAUACAGGAAGAAACCCCGCUACGAGUUAGCGGUUUGACGGUACUGUAAGAAUAAGGAUCGGCUAACUCCGUGCCAGCAGCCGCGGUAAUACGGAGGAUCCAAGCGUUAUCCGGAAUCAUUGGGUUUAAAGGGUCCGUAGGUUGGUAAUUAAGUCAGAGGUGAAAUCCUGCAGCUCAACUGUAGAAUUGCCUUUGAAACUGGUUAUCUUGAGUCAUUAUGAAGUGGUUAGAAUGUGUAGUGUAGCGGUGAAAUGCAUAGAUAUUACACAGAAUACCGAUUGCGAAGGCAGAUCACUAAUAAUGUACUGACACUGAUGGACGAAAGCGUGGGUAGCGAACAGGAUUAGAUACCCUGGUAGUCCACGCCGUAAACGAUGGUCACUAGCUGUUUGGACUUCGGUCUGAGUGGCUAAGCGAAAGUGAUAAGUGACCCACCUGGGGAGUACGUUCGCAAGAAUGAAACUCAAGGAAUUGACGGGGGGCCCGCACAAGCCG
Molecule: ribosomal RNA, 877 nt
Filed under: uncultured microorganism
Description: SSU rRNA
Rfam family: Bacterial small subunit ribosomal RNA
Source: RNAcentral